GAGUAUAAGACAAUCAAGUGCAGUAAUUGACGUACCAACCAAGAAUAAAAAAUGUAUCUUCCAAUGUCUAAAAAGAUUCUAUGACCCCGUAAAAGAUAUUUAUAAGCGAGACCCACUAAGUUCCUUGGAACUUAUAUGCGUGUUUUUGGAUGCAUGUGUGUGAAUUGAACCAACCCGCCGGGAGGGACCAAGCUAGGGAUGCACCGU
Molecule: long non-coding RNA, 207 nt
Filed under: Gossypium barbadense (sea-island cotton)
Lineage: Eukaryota; Viridiplantae; Streptophyta; Magnoliopsida; Malvales; Malvaceae
Description: long non-coding RNA (GBAR_LNC015371)
Source: RNAcentral